RNAcentral lists this ribosomal RNA (661 nucleotides) under [Candida] sp. KY3. RNAcentral's name for it is "SSU rRNA". It matches the Rfam family "Eukaryotic small subunit ribosomal RNA", at positions 1141 to 1821 of the family's 1831-position model. Lineage: Eukaryota; Fungi; Ascomycota; Saccharomycetes; Saccharomycetales. The record is from RNAcentral.
AACUUAAAGGAAUUGACGGAAGGGCACCACCAGGAGUGGAGCCUGCGGCUUAAUUUGACUCAACACGGGGAAACUCACCAGGUCCAGACACAAUAAGGAUUGACAGAUUGAGAGCUCUUUCUUGAUUUUGUGGGUGGUGGUGCAUGGCCGUUCUUAGUUGGUGGAGUGAUUUGUCUGCUUAAUUGCGAUAACGAACGAGACCUUAACCUACUAAAUAGUGCUGCUAGCAUUUGCUGGUAUAGUCACUUCUUAGAGGGACUAUCGAUUUCAAGUCGAUGGAAGUUUGAGGCAAUAACAGGUCUGUGAUGCCCUUAGACGUUCUGGGCCGCACGCGCGCUACACUGACGGAGCCAGCGAGUAUAAACCUUGGCCGAGAGGUCUGGGAAAUCUUGUGAAACUCCGUCGUGCUGGGGAUAGAGCAUUGUAAUUAUUGCUCUUCAACGAGGAAUUCCUAGUAAGCGCAAGUCAUCACCUUGCGUUGAUUACGUCCCUGCCCUUUGUACACACCGCCCGUCGCUACUACCGAUUGAAUGGCUUAGUGAGGCUUCCGAAUUGGUUUAGAGAAGGGGGCAACUCCAUCUUGGAACCGAGAAGCUAGUCAAACUUGGUCAUUUAGAGGAAGUAAAAGUCGUAACAAGGUUUCCGUAGGUGAACCUGCGGA